This is a long non-coding RNA of Rana temporaria (common frog), 2161 nucleotides long. RefSeq lists it as uncharacterized. The transcript has 2 exons. NCBI's taxonomy places the organism in Eukaryota, Metazoa, Chordata, Amphibia, Anura, Ranidae. The record is from RefSeq and is a predicted model, not a curated record.
AGUUGGAAGAAUAGUAUCCAUCGUUGGUAUCAGUUGGAGGAAUAGUACCCAUCGUUGGUAUUAGUUGGAGGAAUAGUGCCCAUCGUUGAGCCGAAACCCAGAAGAAGCCAAGGAGAAAGCUGGCAUCAACGAGGUAUAUCACCGACGUAGGACUAUUGAAGCAGAGGUUGAUAUCACCGACGUAGGACUAUUGAAGCAGAGGUUGAUAUCACUGACGUAGGACUAUUGAAGCAGAGGUUGAUAUCACUGACGUAGGACUAUUGAAGCAGAGGUUGAUAUCGCUGACGUAGGACUAUUGAAGCAGAGGUUGAUAUCACCGACGUAGGACUAUUGAAGCAGAGGUUGAUAUCACCGACGUAGGACUAUUGAAGCAGAGGUUGAUAUCACUGACGUAGGACUAUUGAAGCAGAGGUUGAUAUCACCGACGUAAGACUAUUGAAGCAGAGGUUGAUAUCACCGACGUAAGACUAUUGAAGCAGAGGUUGAUAUCACCGACGUAAGACUAUUGAAGCAGAGGUUGAUAUCACUGACGUAGGACUAUUGAAGCAGAGGUUGAUAUCACCGACGUAGGACUAUUGAAGCAGAGGUUGAUAUCACCGACGUGGGACUAUUGAAGCAGAGGUUGAUAUCACUGACGUAGGACUAUUGAAGCAGAGGUUGAUAUCACCGACGUAGGACUAUUGAAGCAGAGGUUGAUAUCACCGACGUGGGACUAUUGAAGCAGAGGUUGAUAUCACUGACGUAGGACUAUUGAAGCAGAGGUUGAUAUCACUGACGUAGGACUAUUGAAGCAGAUGUUGAUAUCACCGACGUAGGACUAUUGAAGCAGAGGUUAUCACUGAUGUAGGACUAUUGAAGCAGAGGUUGAUAUCACUGAUGUAGGACUGUUGAAGCAGAGGUUGAUAUCACAGACGUAGGACUAUUGAAGCAGGCUGUAGUUCUGCUUCAAGUGUGAGUAAAGGUGUCUAUACAAUAUUAAAUUUAUUGCUUCAACUGAUCAUUGGAUAGGCAGCCCAUAAUUACAUUUGGCCAUUCAUGUACAGUUGAUGAUCAAAUUUCGAAAGAUUUAACCACUUGGCUUAUCUUGGUGGUAAUAAUGGAAACAGUUAAUGAUGUAGGUUGGAGGUAAUGGAAACCAUCAAUAUGUCAAGGAAUGGCGUGGUCAUGUUCUUCCAUCUCAUCUGUUCUGAAGGUCCUGGAUGGGGAGUAGGGACACAAAUUUGGAGCCAGAAAUGUGUGUAUACAUAUAUAUGUUUAUAAAGUAAUAGGUGUGCCUAUGCUUUAAAUGCAGAUUUUAAGCUCUAUGUUAAAUUCAUGGAAUUGGCAAUGGACAUUCUGUUGACGGUCCUUGAAGACUUGUGUAUCAAGAAUAAAAUCCAGUCUUUAUUGUGUGUUUUUAAUGACUCUAAGCUGUAGAUUUAAAACACAGAUGCACAGCCUACCUAUGUAACAUCUUCAGGGCUUGUUCACACCAAGUCCAUUGAGUUGUGUUUUUUGGCACACCAACGCACAUCCAUGGCGUGACUUGAUAUCCACGUGCUCUGUUCACACUCGAGAUAUGCGGAGGUGUGCAGAAAAACAAAACUCAACAGACAUAGUGUUAACAAGCCCCUAAGGGGGGAUCUGUUGGAGAGGUUCAAGCCUUUCAUGAAAUCUUCAGUUGGAAACGGCCAUCUCCUGAAUACCAGUCGACAUACACGAUCUGUGUCAAUGAAGCUAAAUCUGUUAAUGGUGUACAAUCCAGAAUGGCUACAUCACGCCACACAUUUCCCUUUAAUAGGCUGGUAGGGCAUGCCUUUACUGAUUAGAAAAAAAAAGUUUAUGUACCAUGAAGGAUCGAUGAACCAGGGGGCAAAUGUUUUGUGCGGUUUUCUUUUUUUUCUUUAGACUUGUCUUGAUUUUUCCUAAUAUAUUUUGUAACCCACCUUCUUUGCACAACGUACAGUUAAACGAACCUUACAACGCAAUCACCCUGAUCUCUCUGUACAGAUAUGAAUGGGAAGGUGUGUAAUUAUUAAUUUAUUUGGUAAAAGGCCAUUUCUCUUUGUGAUUUUCCUGUGUAAAUAGUUUGUUUAUAUAGUAUGUAUUAAAUUUUCCUACAAUGUAAAACUGCUGUACUUUUCAUUCUUGUACAUUAAAACGUGAUUGAGUUUUUCAAACA